This 377-nucleotide unclassified non-coding RNA is filed under the name uncultured bacterium. RNAcentral's name for it is "contains 16S-23S intergenic spacer region". The record is from RNAcentral.
UCCGGUUUGGCACCGGCAGUCUUCCUAGAGUCCCCGGCUUUACCCGCUGGCAACUAGGAACGGGGGUUGCGCUCGUUGCGGGACUUAACCCAACAUCUCACGACACGAGCUGACGACAGCCAUGCACCACCUGUGCACGAGCCCCGAAGGGCUGCCGUAUUUCUACGACAUUCCCGUGCAUGUCAAGCCUUGGUAAGGUUCUUCGCGUUGCGUCGAAUUGAACCACAUGCUCCGCUGCUUGUGCGGGCCCCCGUCAAUUCAUUUGAGUUUUAACCUUGCGGCCGUACUCCCCAGGCGGUCGACUUAACGCGUUAGCUCCGGAAGCCACGCCUCAAGGGCACAACCUCCAAGUCGACAUCGUUUACAGCGUGGACUAC